This 13666-nucleotide long non-coding RNA is filed under the name Sarcophilus harrisii (Tasmanian devil). Its description in RNAcentral is "lncRNA (ENSSHAG00000025202.1)". Lineage: Eukaryota; Metazoa; Chordata; Mammalia; Dasyuromorphia; Dasyuridae. The record is from RNAcentral.
CAUAAUUACAAUUGAUUAUGUGGGUUUAUUAUUGACAUUCAAAAUCAUACUAAUUUUAAUGCUGAAGAAAUUAAGGAAAUUCAUUGCAGAUGCAUAAUUAUAAAACUCACAAAUUAGGAGCAGCUAGGUGAAGCAGUGUAUAGAGCACUAGCCCUGAAGUAAGGAGGACCUCACUUCAAAUCUGUUCUCAGACAAUGAACACUUCCCAGCUUUGUGACCCUGGGAAAGUCACUUAAUCCCAAUUGCCUCAGGAAAAUAAACAAACAAACAAAACUGUCAAAUUAGCUCAUAUUUUGGUGUUUGAUGAUUUGUCAAGUAUAUAUACAUUAUUUCUUAUUUAAUAAACCAAACACAUUGAGGUAUGGAAAAUUAAGACCUCCUUUUUACAAGGAAGGUAAUCCUGUGUCAGAGAGUUUAAACAACUAGAGAAAGUUCUUAGAAAUAUCAAAUAUCAAAAGAGGGUCCUCCUCUUUUCUAUGCCAACAGUCAUGGCCCAAUAAGAAGCCACUUCAGUAACAGAAUAAGGCAUAAAAGAGAACAGAAACAAAAAAAUAUCAUUUUAGUUGUAUGAAAUGAAACAUUUCUCAUACAAAAAUUUUAAUGUAAUAACAAUUAAGGAACAUUACUUUUUAUAUACUCCAGAAAAUCUUUUUUAUUAAAAUGGCAUUUGAAGUUGUCAUCAAUAGACAAAAGUAAGAUCCCAUAUUCUUGUGUAUAUAAGAAUUCAAAAAAUGUUACCAGAUUGUAUAUAUAAAAUAAGAAAUUGUCAUUAAUCAUUAUAACAGCAUUACUAAUAAGAGAAAUAAAAAUUGUAAUAUUUGGUUUCCUUUUUCACAAGUCAUGAUCAUAAGGUAAAAAUUUUAAAUAAUCAAUUUUGAAUAACUUUGAAAAAAUAAACAAAAUUAUAAUGUUGUCAUGUAAAUGGUGUGAGAAAACCUUUGGAAUUAUGCAAACAUAUAGUCAAUUACCUAUCACCAUCUUGGACUCAGCAAUCUCAAUAAUGGAGCAGUAAGGAAAUUAGUGACAGCUUGAUCCUGCAGGAAGAAAAUACUGUUUUUGUUUUGUGAAAUAAAAAAAAAGACCCUUGAUAAAGAGUGCAGAUUUUCACCCAGCAAUAGGUGAACAUGUUUACAUGUUUUGUCAAAUGGAUAUAAUAAAUGUUGUAUAAGAAGGAAAAUUAAUGCAAAGAAUUAAAGAAGGAGUGAUAAACAAGUUUUAAAUGAUAUCAAGGAAAAAAAUAUAACCAGUAUAACAGCAGCCACAAUCACUAUAUAGUUGUUAAAAAAAAAAAAAAGGAAAACUAAGGCAUAAGUGAGUCUGCAUUAAUUUCAAUAACAACUUUUGUAUCAAAAGAAGCUGAUUGAUAAUUCCUCCCUCUUAGCAUUGUAGGUCAGGAGAACUAAGAUUAUGGAAAUUUGAAAAAGCCAUCAAUUGAAUAUAUAUAACCUAUAUUAGAUUAUUAUAUUUGAAUUAUUUUUAUCAUACAGUGUUUUUACAUGUAAUUUCCAAUAAAAUAUUAUUUUAAAAUGAAAAUCACACGUGAAAAUAAAUUAAAAAGUAGUUAAAUAUAGUUUUAAUGUUAAAUAGUAUAUAUUUAACACAUCCUUUUCUGUUUUCAUUGUUACAAAGGAUAUGGCAGUGGUAUUAUACAAGAUAAUAAUUGUGGUGUAAGAAAGAAAAAAAGAGUGGAGAUAAUAAUAAAGAAGUAAAGAUUACAGAACAAAGAACUAUAGAAAAAUUACUAUGAGGCUAUUUAGCUAGCCAAAGGAAUACAGAUUUUGUUUUGUUUUUUUUAAUUUUGUCUAAGUAAAUGGGGUCAAGAGUUUAUUGUGUGUAAGGGAGAGGAAAUAGUUCAUUCUUUGUGCAUUUCUUCCCUGUAUAUGUGAGCUCUCAACAUUAUUGAGUAUUUCAAAACAUUUAGGAAGCUUCUGAAUGAGUAGAUCUGCAAAUUUCUUCAUAAUCAGAGAAUUUAGAGUUGAGCAAGUAAAAUGUUUCACACUUACCUCUAUUAGAUGAGAUUAAACCAUAUUCAGUUGCUUCCUUUAAUUCACAUGUUGAAAAUAAAAUGAAAAAUAGUAACUAGCAAAAAUAAGUUGCUUUAAUUUUUGGGAAAUUCUUUACAUGUUAUCAACUUAUCCUCACAGCAUCUCUCUAAUAUAGUUAUCACUCGACAUAUUAGGAGACUGUGCUCAAACAUCUGAAUAAGUUGAUGAACUUAUAAUGGUUUGAAUUCAAGGAUCUCAGGACUUUUCAAUUAAUCUAUUGUUUUGUUCCCUUGAGCAUUAGCCUAUAUUACUGUAUUCUAUCUAACUUUAAAAGUGGAACUUGAUUACUUCUAAAAAAUGAUUACUUUAGAUUAAGUCACCAUACUUUUAAGUACAAGUCAUUCUUGUUCUUCUGUAUUAUCUAGGGAGAGUUUUCCCAUGAUUCUUACCACAUUUUAAUGUCAAUGUUACUUUUUCUUAAAGUUUGGUUCUCUAAGGAUCUUCUUAAUAAGACAGUGUUACAUAGUGGAAAAUCUGGGAUUUGGAGCCAUGAAGCUACAAAGAAACCUUAGCAGUCUUAGUUUCUAACUAUCAAAUAAUUGAAAAGUUAGCAUUCUUCUCUUACUUAUUUUUUAACUUUUUGAAUGAUAUUUUGAAUUCUAUGAAUCUUAGUUUUUUGUGAAAAAUAAAGUAGAAAAGGUAGUAUGUUUUAACCAUAUUUAUUAUUAUUAUAAAAUUGAUACCAAUGCUUGCCUUCAAUUAUUUGAAAAUCAUCCAUUCCCUUUUGUCUUGGAACAAACAUAAUCUUUUUCUUCACAUCUACCAAUGAAAGAAAACUUUUGGUGUUUAACUACCUAGCCCUCACUGUUCAGAUCUUGGUAGUUAAUAUGAGUAAUCUCAUACUGCAUUGAAGCACAAAGUAUAAUCACAAGGAAGUCUGGAUUAUAAAGUAUAACCUGUCAGUUUGAAUUCCUAUUCUAUUACUUUUUUUUUUAACUGAAUACCUUUAAUAAUAUAUUUGUCUCACUUAAUUUGAUUCUGUCUGAAAGCAAUGUAUGAGAGUAGCUUAUUUAUUAACCCUAAUCAGAAGACUUGACUGAAAACAGGAAAAAAAAAAAAAAAAACCUAAAAUGACUCUGGUAUGAUUGAGGCCUCUGGACCUGCUCUAAUCCGAUCACCUCUUCUAAAAUUAAGUUCUAAGUCCCUGCCUUUUCCAGGCAUUCUAUUCUAUAAUUAAUAUACCAUCCAAUUCUGACAUCUGAUUUCCCCCAAAACUCCCAAUCCUUGGUAUUCCACAUAAACUCUUAGGAUUAUAGACUUUUAAACCUGUUUUUCAGCUGAAUCCUCUUUUAUGCAUAUAAAUGAGGGGAAAGGAGAAAAGAAAGGGAAAAGGUAAUGGAAGGGAAAAUAGAAGUAGUAGGGGAAAGGUGUAAGAAAGAGGGACAGGUUGUAAAAGGGGAGGACAAUUUGAGGGAGAUUAUAAGCAAAUUCAGAAAGCAAAAUUUAGAAGCAAAAAGUCAGGAAGGAAAGGGGGAAAGGAAAGAGAAAAUCUUAACUUGUGGUAAAUAAGAUGGCAGGGAAUACAGAAUUAGUUGUUUUAACUGUGAAUGUUAAUUUGAUGAACUCUCCCAUAAAAUGAAAGCAGAUAGAAGACUGAAUUAAAAGACAGAAUCUCACAAUAGGUCAUUUACAAGAAACACAUUUAAAGCAGAGUUAUACAUAUAUUAUAAAGAUAAAAGGCCGGACCAGAAUGUAUAAUGCUUCAGGUGAAGUAAACAAAAGCAGAGGUAGAGAUCCUGAUCUCAGAUCAAUCAAAAAGCAAAAAAAAAAAAAAAAAAAAAAAAAAAAAUUAUAUAAUUAAAAGAGAUAAAUAAAUGUAAUAACCGCUCUAUCAUCCAGGACACUCCAGAAUCAGCUGGAGUCACGACAAGCAAAAUUCCUUAAUCUUUAUUCUGGGUCUUAGAUUCUUAGAUGCAGGAUUGAACAGGAUGGAAGCAGAUUCUGUAUGAUUUCCAACCUCCUUGUCCACUGCCAAGAGUGUGUCCCUUACUAAUCUUAUUCCACCCCUUAGUCCCUCCUACAAUCCUCUAUACACCCAUCAUUGAGCCAGUACAGACAGUGGAAAGGACCAUUUUCCAAGCAUAUGGCCAUAGAGUACUGUCCAAUCAGUAGUUAGCCUCAAGUGUCCGGCAGUCCCGACCUCAGUGCAUCAACCCAAUACUUUCAGCCCUCUACAGAUAAGGAAGAAAACUACACCAUGCUAAAUGUAAAAUAUUAAUACUAAUCAUAUGUGCACCAAUUGGUAUAGCAUCCAAAUUGCUAAAGGGGAAUUUAAAAGAACUUCAAGAAGAAUUAGACAGCAAACCUAUACUAGUGGGUGAUUUCAAUCUUGCUCUCUCAGAAUUACAUAAAUCAAACCUCAAAAUCAAUAAGAAAUAAGAUGAAGUAAUUAGAAUUUUAGAAAAAAUUAGAUAUGAUUGAUCUUUGGAGAAAAUUGAAUGCAGACAGAAAGGAGUAUACUUUUUAUUAUCUGUUCAUGGAAUGUAUACAAAAAUUUAUCACGUAUUAGAAUAUAAAGAUCUCAAAAUCAAAUGGAGAAUGGCAGAAAUUAUAAGUACAUUUUUUUCAGAUCACUAUGAAUUAAAAAACACUUGUAAUAAAAGGCCAAGGGAAAAUAGAUCAAAAAUUAAUUAGAAACUAAAUAAUCUAAUCCAAAAGAAUGAAUGAGUGAAACAAUAAAUCAUAGACACAAUUGAUAACUUCAUCCAAGAGAAUAACAAUAAUAAAACAACAUAACAAUAUUUGUGGAAUGAAGCCAAAUAAAUUAUUAGGGGGAAUUUUAUAUCACUAUAAUUGUUUACUUGCAUAAAAUAGAAAACGAGAUCAGUGAAUUGAACUUUCAACUAAAAAAGCUAAAAAAGAACAAAUUCAAAACCCUCAAUUAAAUACCAAAUUUGGAAAAAACAAAAAAACAAACAAAAAAAAAUGUUUAGUUAAUUUGAUUAGAAAAAAGAAAUUAGACAAUCAAAUUGUUAGUCUCAAAAAUUGAAAGGAAGAACUUUCCACCAAUAAAUAGUAAAGCAGAGCUACAAUUAGGAGUGAUUUUGCCCAAAAAUAUGUCAAUGAAUUUGAUAAUAUAGGUGAAAUAGAUAUCUAUAAAAAUAUAGAUUGCCUGGGUAAACAGAAGAGGAAAUAAAUUAUUCAAAUAAUUCCAUUUUAGAGAAAGAAAUAGAACAAGCUAUUAAUUAUCUACUUAAGGAAAAAAAAAACUCCAAGAUGAAUUAAUCUGUGAAUUCUACCAAAUGUUUAAAGGAAAAAUUAAUUCCAAAUUAUACAAACAAUUUAUAAAAAUAGGGAAAGAAGGAAUCCUUCCAAUUUCUUUUUAUGACACAGACAUUGUGCCAAAACUUAAAAAUUAAAUUUUACAAGAGACCAAUAGUGAGACCACUAUUCUAUUUUAUGGAAUUAAACUAUGUAGGUACCUUUAGAAAAAGAAAUAGGACAAACUAUUAAUUAUCUCCCUAAGGGGGAAAAAAAACUCUAAGAUGAAUUAACAUUUAAAAGGUAAGGUGAAAACAGAGAAUGGCAAUAAUAGGCUAAUUUCUCUAAUGAAUAUUGAGCCAAAAAUUUCAAAUAAAAUAAUAGCAAAGAGAUUAUAGCAAGUCAUCCCCAGGAUAAUCCUAACUCUAACCCUCCCUUCCCCCAGCCUCUCCCCCAGACAGCAAGCAGUCCAAUAUAUAUUAAACAUUUGCAAUUGAUUUAUAUACACCUCCACAUCCAUCAUGUUGUACAAGAAAAAGACAAAUUAUGAAAUGCUUUGUAUAUUUUAAACAUAGUUUAAUGAUUUAUUUCACCCACUGAGAUUUCAUACUUUCAGUGUUGGAAUAUCUGGGUUGCAUUUUUUUUUUUCUCCUGGACAUUUUUCCUAUAAAAAUGUUGUGACUUCAGUUACCCUCCUCCCACACCAGCAUUCACUUGUAGAAUACUUGUUUUGUUUUGUUUUUUUCACCUAAAUUUACCAUUUUAUGUUUUCUAAAUUUGGUACAAAUACAAGAGGUAAUACAGUGUUAACCACCUUUAGAUAUUUUCCAUCAAAAUAUACCUUUCAGAUUCUCAUAGACCAUUCAUUGGUUUCAUCUAUAUAAAAUAUGGUAGGGGAAAAAUUGACUGAUAAUAAGCAAAAAAUAACUUUUAAGAAUUUAUAAAUUCUAUAAAAUAGAGACCACUCUCUUGUAAAAUUUAAUCUAAAAUGAAAUUCUGCAUUUGACAACCAUUAUACUUCAUGUUUGGUGGCUAUGUACAUUACUUAAAUGUGAUUCGUUCUCUCACUCUCCCCCUCCCUCCUUUCCUUCCUCUCUUCAUUCAUCCCUACUUUCCUCCAUCUUUUUUCCCCUCCCUCCCUCUCUCCUUCUUGCUCUUUUCCUGCUUCAUUCACCUUUCAUCCCUCCCUACCUCUUUUUGUAUCUUCCUUCCUUAUUUCCUUCCUUACUUCCACCCUUCCUCCCACUCUCCCUUCCUUCUUUUCUUAUAUCUUUUUUUUUCUUUUCUUCCUUCCUUCUAUUCUUACUUUCACUCUAGUUUUAUUUAUUCUUUCUUUCUGCCUCAAUUUCUGCCUUCUUUUCUUCCAUUGCUUGCUCACCUUUAAAAUCAGAUCAAUCUUAAUGUCCUUAUCUAUUUAAGAUUUGUACAAGGAAAAUUUGAGAAAUUAUUUCUAAAAAUUUGAAAUUUGUAAAAAUUAUCAAAUUUCAAAAAAUACAUGUACAUAUAAGGCCACAUCAAUAUAAUCAAGUAUUUUUAAUCUUAUCAUAAUCAUUAGAGACUCACUAAAAGAAUGGGAAAGUUCUAGUAUAAGGCAGAAUAACAAAUAUGAUCUUAUACAUUGUUUUAAUUUUAUUAUGAAAGUCUUUCAUUGCUUAGGUAUUAGCAUUAGUAAUAUUUGCUAUUGUAUUAUCUUUGAAAUCACUGUUUUUAAUUUUUUUAUUAAUCCAUAGUUUUUUUUAGGAGACUGUUAACAACAAUAAUGUCUUUGAUCAUGUUCUAGUUAAAGUACCAGGUAUUUACUUAAGAAGUAGGGAAUUGUGAAUUUUUCUCAAGAUAUAGAAAAUUCUCAUGUCUUUAUCUAGAUUUGAUGAAAAAUUUUAACUACCAAAUUUUGUCAUUCAAGUUAUACAUUUAGUGACUGAUAUCUAUAAUAUUAAUUAUAUAUUAGAGUUUCCUCCUCAAUACCCUUAAAUAAUAUUUAAUGAACAGUAAAGCUGUGCUUCUUGUGGUUACUGCUUUUAUUAUUUCUAUUAGAGUUGAUCUGAUGUAUAUGUAUAUGUAUGCCCCAAAACUUUUUGUUCUUUUUUCAUCAUAUAGCAAGUAUAGAAACAAAGAAAUCAAGGGCAGUACAAUAAGGUCCUUGACGAUGACCAUAUAUUUUAGUAAAGAGAAAACUCUCUUUCCCCUCAGUCCUAUCAGCAUAAGAUGCAUGAAUAGACUUUGGGAGUGACAAAGAAAUCUUACUCAUUGAGGUGACAUGAUCACAGAAUAAGUGCAACUCAGAGGGGCAAAAUGUUAAAUAAUAAAUGCUACAUAUAUUAUCAAUAGAAAUUUUCAUUUCAUUUAUGUUGAAAGAGAAUUAGAAUUAAGACUUGAAUAAACUUUUAGUAAAUGGUCUCUCAGAAACUAUCAUAAGCAAAAACUAAGAUCCAGAAUAAUUUCACAACUUUUUGAAGGACUAACAAUAGAGAAAUCAUUCAACCUUCUGACCAAAUCUCCAACACCUACACAAGGACAUGUAAACGUUGAUAUUGGUGUUGAUAAUGUUUUCCUGUCACCUGACACGUGGUGAUUCCACUUUGGGGAUUUUCUUGGCAGAAAUCCUGCACCAGUUUGACAUGUCCUUCUUGAGAACAUUUUUAAAAUAGGAACAAAAAUAUUUAUUUCACUUCUUUUAGCAGUGACAAUGAAUUGGAAACUGCUGAAAUGCCUAUAAAUCGAGGAAUGGUUGAACAAGUUGUGAUAAAAUAUUAUUCUGAUAUAAAAAAUGAUGAGGAGGCUGUAUUCAGAAAAAACCUGGAAAAACCUAUGUGACACAAUACAAAGGGAAAUGAAUAUUAUAUCACUAUUUCUUUCUUUGUUUUCACUCUACCUGGUUUAGGUAUUGUCACCAUAUUUUUUUCAUGAAAGGAAUUUGAUAAUCCAUUUACCAUAUUUUUUUAAAUAGUUUAUAUAAUAUUGGAAUUAAUUGUUCUUGUAAUGUUUGGUAAAAUUCACAUGUAAAUCCAUAUGUCCCUGAAUAUUUUUUCUAAAGGAGUUGGAUAACAAAUUUUUCUAUUUAUUUUUCUAAAAUAGGACUAUUUAAAUUGUUUCCUCUUCUGUUAAGCUCGGAGAUCUAUAUUUUUGCAUCCCUCUAUUUCAGUUAGAUUAUCAAAUUUAUUGACAUAUAGUUGGACAAAAUGACUUUUAAUUAUUGUUCUAAUUUCAUCUUCUUGGUGGAAAGUUCUCUCUUUUCAUUUUUAAGAUGAACAAUUUUACUUUCUUCUUUUUUCUAAUCAAAUUAAUGAAAGAUUUAUUUUGUUUUUUUUUCAUAAAACCAACUCAAUAUUAUUUUUGUCAAUAGUUUUCUUAUUUUCAAUUUUAUUAAUCUACCUUUUCAUUUUCAGAAUUUCAAAUUUUGUAUGUAAUUGAGGGGUGAAUUCAUUUUUUUCCUAGCUUUUUUAGUUGUGAGCCCAAUUUAUUGAUAUUCCCUUUUUCUAUUUUAUGCAAGUAAGCAAUUAGAGAUAAAAAAAAAAAAAAAUUUCCCCUAAUAAUUUCUUUGGCUACAUUCCAAAAAUUUUGGUAUGUAGUUUUACUAUUGUUAUUCCCUUGGAUGAAGUUGUCAGUUGUGUCUAUGAUUUCUUGUUUCUCCCAUUCAUACAUUAGGAUUAGAUAAUUUAAUUUCCAAUUAAUUUUGUUCCAAUUAAUUUGGCCUUAUGUUCCAUUUGAUUUUUAUUGCAUCAUGAUCUUAAAAAAUGCAUUCUCUAGUUCUGUCUUCUGCAUUUGAUUUUGAUGUUUUUAUGCCCUAAGACAUGGUCAAUUUUUGUAUGAGUCCCUGAACAGCCAAGAAAAAAAAAAACCUAACCUUUUUUUUUCUCUCCCUUCAAUUUUCUCCAAAGACCUAUCAUACCUAACUUUUCUAACAUUCUAUUUAUCUCUUUAACUUCUUUCUUAUUUAUUUUGUGGUUAGAUUAUCUAGUUCUGAGAGAGCAAGUUUGAGAUCCUUCACUAGUAUAGUUUUGCUGUUUAUGCUAAAAGCUGUUUGGGUUUAUUAAACACUAGAUUACCAUAGUCAUUGACUAUUUUACCUGGUGAAUCUAACCUAUUCCACUGAUGAACUACUCCAUUUCUUAGCCAGUACCAAAUACUUUUGAUGACCAUUGUUUUAUAAUACAGCUAAAGACAUGUAUAGCUAGAAAUCACUGUACACAGAAACAACAAGAAAAUACAAAGAUGGACGUGACUUUCUUUUUUUUUUUUAAAUAACUUUUUAUUGACAGAACCCAUGCCAGGGUAAUUUUUUUACAACAUUAUCCCUUGCACUCACUUCUGUUCCAAUUUUCCCUCUCCUUCCUUCUGUCCGCUCCCCCAGAUGGCAAGCAAUCCUAUACGUGUUAAAUAGGUCACGGUAUAUUAUACAUACAAUAUAUGUGUGCAUAACUGAACAGUUCUUUUGUAGCACAGGAAGAAUUGGAUUCAGAAGUUAGAAAUAACCCAGGAAGAAAAACAAAAAUGCAUACAGUAUACAUUCAUUUCCCAGUGUUCUUUCUUUGGGUGUAGCUGCUUUUAGUCCAUCAUUGAUCAAUGGAAACUGAGUUAUGUCUCUUUGUCAAAGAAAUCCAUUUCCAUCAGAAUAUAUCUUCAUAGAGUAUUGUUGCUGAAGUAUAUGAUGAUCUCCUGGUUCUGCUAAUUUCACUUAGCAUCAGUUCAUAUAAGUCUCUCCAAACCUGUCUGUAUUCAUCUUGGUGGUCAUUUCUUACAGAAAAGUAAUAUUCCAUAACAUUCAUAUACCACCAUUUACACAACCAUUCUCCAAUUGAUGGGCAUCUAUGCAUUUUCCAGUUUUGAGCCACUACAAACAGGGUUGCCACAAAUAUUUUGACACAUACAGGUCCUUUUCCCUUCUUUAGUAUCUCUUUGGGGUAUAAACCCAGUAGUAGCACUGCUGUUAUCAAAGGGCAUGCACCGUUUGAUAACUUUGAGGACAUAUUUCAAGAUUGCUCUCCAAAAUGGUUGGAUUCAUUCACAACUCCACCAACAAUGCAAUCAGUGUCCAAGUUUUCCCACAUCCCCUCCAACAGUCAUCAUUAUUUUUUCCUGUCAGCCACUCUGACAGGUGUGUAGUGGUAUCUCAGAGUUAUUUUAAUUUGCAUUUCUAUGAUCAAUAGUGAUUUGGAACACUAUUUCAUAUAAGUGGAAAUAGUUUCAAUUUCAUCAUCUGAAAAUUGUCUGUUCAUAUCCUUUGACCAUUUAUCAAUUGGAGAAUGGCUUGAUUUCUCAUAAUUUAGAGACAAUUCUCUAUAUAUUUUAGAAAUGAGGCCUUUCUCAGAACCUUUAUCUGUGAAGAUGUUUUCCCAGUUUGUUACUUCCCUUCUAAUCUUGUUUGCAUUAGUUUUGUUUGUACAAAGGCCUUUUAAUUUAAUGUAAUCAAAAUUUUCUAUUUUGUGAUCAAUAAUGGUCUCUAGUUCAUAUUUGGUCACAAAUUUCUUCCUCCUCCAUAAGUAUGAGAUAAACUAUCCCAUAUUCCUCUAAUUUGUUUAAAAUCUUAUUCAUUAUGCCUAAAUCAUGGACCCAUUUUGAUCUUAUCUUGGUAUAUGGUAUUAAGUGUGGGUCCAUGCCUAAUUUCUGCCAUAUUAAUUUCCAGUUAUCCCAGCAGUUUUUGUCAAAUAAUGAAUUCUUAUCCUAAAAGUUAGGAUCUUUGGGUUUGUCAACCACCAGAUUCUAUAGUUGACUAUUCUGUCUUGUGAACCUAACCUAUUCUACUGAUCAACUAAUCUACUUCUUAGCCAAUACCAAAUGGUUUUGGUGACUGCUGCUUUAUAAUAUAGUUAUAGAUCAGGUACAGCUAGGCCACCCUCAUUUGAUUUUUUUUCCUAAUUCCCUUGAGAUUCUUGAUCUUUUGUUCUUCCAUAUGAAUUUUGUUAUUUUUUUUAGGUCAUUAAAAUAUUUUCUUGGAGGUCUGAUUGGUAUAGCACUAAAUAAAUUGAUUACUUUAGGGAGUAUUGUCAUCUUUAUUACAUUUGCUUGACCUAUUCAAGAGCACUUACUAUUUUUCCAUUUAGGUCUGACUUUAUUUGUGUGGAAAGUUUUUUUUGUAAUUUUGCUCAUAUAAUACCUGACUUUCCUUAGGUACAAAGAUUCCCAAAUAUUUUAUGCUGUCGACAGUUAUUUUGAAUGGAAUUUCUCUUUGUAUUUCUUGCUGUUGGAUUUUGUUGCUGAUGUAUAAAAAUGCUGAAGAUUUAUGGGCAUUUAUUUUGUAUCCUGCAACUUUGCUAAAGUUGUGAAUUAUUUCUAAUAGCUUUUUAGUAGAAUCUCUGGGGUUCUCUAACCAUACCAUCAUAUCAUCUGCUAAGAGUGAUAGUUUGAUUUCCUCAUUGCCUGCUCUAAUUCCUUUAAUCUCUUUCUUGACUCUUGUUGCCAAGGCUAGUGUUUCUAAUAAAAUGUUAAAUAAUAAUGUUGAUAGUGGGCUAACUUGUUUCACUCCAAAUCUUACUGGGAAAGGUUCCAGUUUUUCCCCAUUGAAUAUGAUGCUUACUGAUAGUUUUAAAUAUAUGCUCCUGACUAUUUUAAGGAAAAGUCCAUUUAUUCCUAUACUCUCCAGUGUUUUUAUUAGAAAUGGAUGUUGGAUUUUAUCAAAUGCUUUUUCUGCAUCUAUUGAGAUGAUCAUAUGGGUUUAGUUAGUUUGGUUAUUGAUAUAGUCAAUUAUACUAAUAAUUUUCCUAAUAUUGAAUCAGCCCUGAAGGCCUGGAAUAAAUCCUACUUGGUCAUAGUGUAUUAUCCUGGGGAUGAUUUUUGGAAUUCUUUUUGCUAAUAUUUUAUUUAUGAUUUUAGCAUCAGUAUUCAUUAGGGAGAUUGGUCUAUAAUUUCUUUCUCUGUUUUCGACCUACCUGGUUUAGGUAUCAGUACCAUGUUUGUGUCAUAAAAGGAAUUUGGUAGGACUCCUUCAAUCCCUAUUUUUUCAAAUAAUUUAUAUAUCAUUGAAGUUAAUUGUUCUUUAAAUGUUUGGUAGAAUUCACAAGUAAAUUGAUCUGGUCCUAGGGAUUUUUUCUUAGGGAGUUGGUUAAUAGCUUUUUCUAUUUCUUUUUCUAAAAUGGGACUGUUUAGGAUAUUUACUUCUUCCUCUGUUAAUCUGGGCAAGCUAUAUUUUUGAAGGAAUUCUUCCAUUUCAUUUACAUUGUUGCAUUUAUUGGCAUAAAGUUGGGCAAAUUAAUUCCUAAUUAUUGCUCUAAUUUCCUCUUUGUUAGUGAUGAGUUCUCCCUUUUCAUUUUUAAGACUAACCACUUUAUUUUCCUCUUUUCUUUUUUUUUAAUCAGAUUUACUAAGGGUUUGUCCAUUUUGUUGUUUUUUUCAUAGAACCAACUCUUAGUUUUAUUCAUUAAUUCAAUAUUUUUUUUACUUUCAAUCUCUCCUUUUUUAUUUUUAUUUUAUUGAUCUCUCCAUUUAUUUUUCAAAUUUCAAGUUUACUGUUUGACUGAGGGUUUUUAAUUUGUUCCUUUUCUAGCAUUUUUAGUUGCAAGCUCAAUUCAUUGACCUUCUCUUUCUCUAUUUUAUGUAAUUGGGCCUCUAGAGAUAUGAAAUUUCCCUUUAUUACUGCUUUCGCUGCAUCCCAAACAUUUAGGUAUGACGUCUCAUUAUUGUCAUUUUCUUGGGCGAAAUUAUUAAUUAUGUCUAUGAUUUGCUGUUUCACCCAAUCAUUCUUUAGUAUGAGAUUAUUUAUUUUCCAAUGUUUUUUGGUCAAUUUUCCCCUGGCUUUUUGUUGAAUGUAAAUUUCAUUGCAUCAUGGUCUGAAAAGGAUGCAUUUACUAUUUCUGCCUUACUGCAUUUGAGUUUGAGGUUUUUAAGGCCUAGUAUAUGGUCAAUUUUUUAUAUAGGUUCCAUGAACUCCUGAAAAAAAAGUGUACUCCUUUCUGUCUCAAUUUGGUUUUCUCCAUAGAUCUAUCAUAUCUAACUUUUCUAGUAUUUUAUUUAACUUUUUGACUUCUUUCUUAUUUAUUUUGUGGUUUGAUUUAUCUAAUUCUGAGAGUGUAAGGUUGAGAUCUCCCACUAUUAUAGUUUUGUUGUCUAUUUCUUCUUGCAGCUCUCUUCAUUUCUCUUUUAAGAAUUUAGAUGCUACACCACUUGGUGCAUAUAAGUUUAAUAUUGAUAUUGCUUCAUUAUCUAUGCUACCAUUUAGCAAGAUAUAGUGCCCUUCAUUAUGUCUUUUACUUAAAUCAAUUUUUGCUUUUGCUUGAUCUGAGAUCAGGUUGGCUACCCCCGCUUUUCUGACUUCACCUGAAGCAUAGUAGAUUCUGCUCCAAUCUUUUAAUUUUACUCUGUUUAUAUCUCCUUGCUUGAGGUGUGUUUCUGGCUUUUAAUCCAUUCUGCUAACCACUUCCUCUUUAUGGGGGAGUUUAUCCCAGUCACAUUUAUGGUUAAAAUUACCAAUUCUGUAUUACUUACCA